UUAUCGCUCUCGGCCUUUUGGCUCAGAUCAAGUGUAGUAUCUGUUCUUAUCAGUUUAAUAUCUGAUACGUCCCCAUCGGGGGACUACAUAUUAAAUGGAUUUUUCGAACAGGGAGUCGGAAAUGGGGCUUGCUCCGUCCGCUCCACGAUCGACCCGGUAUUGCAGUACCUCCGGGAACGGUGCAACACUU
RNAcentral lists this small nuclear RNA (190 nucleotides) under Salmo salar (Atlantic salmon). RNAcentral's name for it is "U2 spliceosomal RNA (ENSSSAG00000090975.1)". It matches the Rfam family "U2 spliceosomal RNA". Rfam says of the family: U2 is a small nuclear RNA (snRNA) component of the spliceosome (involved in pre-mRNA splicing). Complementary binding between U2 snRNA (in an area lying towards the 5' end but 3' to hairpin I) and the branchpoint sequence (BPS) of the intron results the bulging out of an unpaired adenosine, on the BPS, which initiates a nucleophilic attack at the intronic 5' splice site, thus starting the first of two transesterification reactions that mediate splicing. The record is from RNAcentral. Lineage: Eukaryota; Metazoa; Chordata; Actinopteri; Salmoniformes; Salmonidae.